This 471-nucleotide ribosomal RNA is filed under the name uncultured bacterium. RNAcentral describes it as "bacterial SSU rRNA". It matches the Rfam family "Bacterial small subunit ribosomal RNA", at positions 355 to 825 of the family's 1533-position model. The record is from RNAcentral.
UGGGGAAUAUUGGACAAUGGGCGCAAGCCUGAUCCAGCCAUGCCGCGUGUGUGAAGAAGGCCUUCGGGUUGUAAAGCACUUUCAGCGAGGAGGAAGGGAGUUGUGUUAAUAGCACAGCUUCUUGACGUUACUCGCAGAAGAAGCACCGGCUAACUCUGUGCCAGCAGCCGCGGUAAUACAGAGGGUGCAAGCGUUAAUCGGAAUUACUGGGCGUAAAGCGCACGUAGGCGGUUUUUAAGUCAGAUGUGAAAGCCCCGGGCUCAACCUGGGAAUUGCAUUUGAAACUGGAAAACUAGAGUGUGUGAGAGGGGGGUAGAAUUCCAAGUGUAGCGGUGAAAUGCGUAGAGAUUUGGAGGAAUACCAGUGGCGAAGGCGGCCCCCUGGCACAACACUGACGCUCAGGUGCGAAAGCGUGGGGAGCAAACAGGAUUAGAUACCCAUGUAGUCCCUGAGCGGGCUGGCAAGGCGCAU